Mesocricetus auratus (golden hamster) is the source of this 107-nucleotide small nuclear RNA. The record is from Ensembl. NCBI's taxonomy places the organism in Eukaryota, Metazoa, Chordata, Mammalia, Rodentia, Cricetidae.
GUGCUUACUUUGGCAGCACGUAUUCUAAAAUUGGAAUAAUACAGAGAAGAUUAACAUGGCCUCUGUGAAAUGAUGACAUACAAAUUCAUGAAAUCUUUCAUAUUUUU